ACGAGCGCAACCCUCGCCUUAGUUGCCAGCAUUCAGUUGGGCGACUCUAGAGGGACUGCCGGUGUCAAACCGGAGGAAGGUGGGGAUGACGUCAAGUCCUCAUGGCCUUUAUGUCUAGGGCUACACACGUACUACAAUGGCCGGUACAAAGGGCAGCCACUCAGCGAUGAGGCGCUAAUCCCAUAAAGCCGGUCUCAGUCCGGAUCGCAGUCUGCAACUGACUGCGUGAAGUUGGAAUCGCUAGUAAUCGUAGAUCAGCAUGCUACGGUGAAUACGUUCCCGGGCCUU
This 288-nucleotide ribosomal RNA is filed under the name uncultured Desulfovibrio sp. RNAcentral describes it as "partial 16S ribosomal RNA". It matches the Rfam family "Bacterial small subunit ribosomal RNA", at positions 1092 to 1382 of the family's 1533-position model. Lineage: Bacteria; Pseudomonadati; Thermodesulfobacteriota; Desulfovibrionia; Desulfovibrionales; Desulfovibrionaceae. The record is from RNAcentral.